This 250-nucleotide ribosomal RNA is filed under the name uncultured bacterium. Its description in RNAcentral is "partial 16S ribosomal RNA". It matches the Rfam family "Bacterial small subunit ribosomal RNA", at positions 524 to 773 of the family's 1533-position model. The record is from RNAcentral.
UACGUAGGCAGCGAGCGUUGUUCGGAGUUACUGGGCGUAAAGGGUGCGUAGGCGGCCUCUUAAGUUUGGUGUGAAAUCUCCCGGCUCAACUGGGAGGGUGCGCCGGAUACUGAGGGGCUAGAGUGCGGGAGGGGAAAGUGGAAUUCCUGGUGUAGCGGUGAAAUGCGUAGAUAUCAGGAGGAACACCGGUGGUGUAAACGGCUUUCUGGACCGUAACUGACGCUGAGGCACGAAAGCGUGGGGAGCAAAC